UGAUGUAAGUUCUUUAGUGCGUUGACAU
Molecule: small RNA, 28 nt
Filed under: Bombyx mori (domestic silkworm)
Lineage: Eukaryota; Metazoa; Arthropoda; Insecta; Lepidoptera; Bombycidae
Description: ovarian small RNA-3710
Source: RNAcentral